This is a long non-coding RNA of Chelonia mydas (Green sea turtle), 3013 nucleotides long. RefSeq lists it as uncharacterized. The transcript has 2 exons. Lineage: Eukaryota; Metazoa; Chordata; Testudines; Cheloniidae. The record is from RefSeq and is a predicted model, not a curated record.
CUCACUCACUCACUCUCGAGAAGGGACUGGCUGCUGGGGAGUGUACCAAAGGUGAAGCAGGGCUGGAGAAGGCCAGACUGGAAAAGCUGCAGGCCUGGCAGAUGGCCUAAGAUAGGUACUAGGGUUGCAGGGGGCAGUCCACAGGUAGGCAGAGGCAGCAGGUCCAAACCUCCCCCCAGUGAAUGGCUAGAUGGUGACUUGGUAGUAGCCAUAUACUGAGGUGAGGUGGGGAUAGUGGGUGGGGGUUCCUGGGCAGGGGAGACCCCAGAGACUGUGGGGGUACUGCCAGGGGGCACACCCUGGGUAAAAGGGGCACCAGGGUCUGGGAGGGACACGGGGAGCCAGCGGCAAGCGGCCUGCAGAGGGUGCUCUGGAGGCUGGAAGAGCUAAUUCCCUGAGAGAUCAGCAGGAGGUGCCGCAGGGGUGAGUCCUGCACUGCGACAGUUGAAUUCACUGCUUAUGAAUGAUGCCAGAUUGCUGGCAAUGCUGAAGACCAAAGUGUAUCCAGUGGUAUAACACAAGCAGAGCUGUAUAAAAUACUCUCCACUUCCCACUGAAUCCUGUGAGGAACCAUUGGAAAGAUCUGGCAGGACACCUUCUAAAGAUGAGAGAGUAGUAGAAUCUCCAUGCCAAAUCAGACCUUGGGCUCUCUAUUUAUACUCCAGCAGGAUGUCAAUUAAUGCCAAAUGUGAUAGUUUUCUCUGUUACAUGAACUAGAAACUGGACUUAGACAACCAAUUCAUCUCACAUAGGCCCCUGUCAGCUAUCAGGCUGUAAUUGCUUUUAGUCUCUACUGACUUGGGCCAGAUUUGAACCAGCCACCUAGCUUGAAAGGCUCUGUGUCCACCAUCAAUCACAAAGAACAUCCGGUCCCCCCUGCAACUUUGUUUUUCUAUCUAAUUUUUUUUUAAGACAGAACAUUCUACCUAAAGUGGAAUGCUCCACCAGGACCAAAAAAAGCUAAUUUCCUUGUUAAUCCCCCACAUUUCUGAGUGGCACAAAAACCUUAACAAACAAGUGACUUAUUUUCCUCCUUCCACUCAUGUUCUCACCUCAUUCAGUGCGCCACUGACUAAAACUGCCUUCAUUGACAAAAAGGUGCAUUUUUGAAGUGAAAUAACUAACUCGAGUUACCAAUCUCACUGUAAAAUCCUAGUGGAGACAAGGUCCAGGUAGUUUUUACCUCACUAUAGCUAGUCAAGGUGAACUCCCAGGUGAGGUUAUAGUGUUGACCUCAACAAGCAUUGGCAGUAAAGACCUAGCCUAACAGUGCUUCAAGACUGCUGGGAAACUAAUGAUAUAUAAUCUCAGUCAACAGAGCUCGUCCCUCUGCCAGUGGAAUGAGGUUGUGGUAUUUAAACACUGCCCUGUAGAAAGGCAGUCAGAUUAGUGUGCUGACCAUGUAAUUAUAUGAGAAAUUAUGGCUAGAGUAUAAGGCUUAACUUGCAUUUUCUUUUAUUUUUUAUGCUUAGAUUUAACUUAUGCCUCCAUCGCUGUGUUAAUGAAUAAAAUCUUAGUGAUCAAAGUUAUUGCUACAUUUUAUUUUAUAUCCUGAAAAGUCAAUCAGAAGUCAACCAAUUCUCUGUGCUAGAUCUCAGAGGAGGGCCAACCAAUUCAAAUGAGGCACAGUGGGAAGUGGUACAAUUGUUUGUGGUGUUCCUGCCAUCUGACUCUGAAAAUCAUUGUCAAUGGAGGUUGAGAGAUAAGGAAUGGAAACAGGUUUGCAAUCCCCUCACAAAUAACUGUUAGCAUUCCCUUGGGGGUUGUGAUCAAUAGACUGAGAAUCACUUUAAAUCUAAGAAAUAAAUACGAUUCCAGUAGGAAGACUCACCCCAAGAACAGCUACUGCAAUCCAGCUGUUUCCGCAACUUCUAGAGCCUACCCUUGGUCUACAAGCACCUCCUCCAUCAUGCAUCAUAAGCACUGUCUUGCCAUGAAGUUGCAGCAGGAAAUAAAGCAACUGAGAAAGGACAUUGUAAUAUUCUGGGGAUAUGCCCUGGAUUCCUGACGGGACUUUGAGACAACCGCUUAAGAGACUGUCUGCCACAUACCACUAAAGAAUCCCUUCCCCAGUUUUGUAAUGAACCCAGUGCAAGUUUUAAUCAGUCCUGGGUAAAUGUACAUACAGGUUCCAGUUCAGGAAAGUAGCCUUAUUCAGGAAAGCACUUAAGAAUGUGCUUAAAGUUAGGCAUGUACUUAAAUGUUUUUCAGAAUAGAGAGUUAAGCACAGUCAUGUUUCCCUGAAAUGGGGCCAUAGUGCAGAUGCAAUUACUAAAACUUAUAUUAUGUACCUGAGUGUAUGAGCUCCCAGUCAUCUGGUACACAACAUGUAAAGGAGCAAUGGUUAGAGGGUUUUAGUUACAGCAUGGCUCUGUACAAAAGGACUUGCUUAACCUACCUUGCUUUUUGACUGUAAUUUCCCCAAGCUUAGCUGCUUCCUUUAACGGUUCUGAGUUCUGCCCCAAAAACUAUGACAACUUUUAGAUGCAAUAAAUCUAAACUGUUUUUCAAAACCUAUUGGUUCUCUAAAAGCUUUAUUCACUUAAAACACUUUAUUUGCUCCAUCUUGAUUGCAGAUCAGUGUAAUCUCACAUGAGUGACUAAUUUUUGUCUGACUUGCUCUAAAGGCUAGUGGGAGGGAAAUCUGUGGUUGACUUUUGCGCAAUUCACUGCUUUUAAGGUCAGAACCAGUCCUUCUGGUGCACCCACAGCUCCCCUAGACUUCAAUUUGAGCUUUGGAGACAGGGAAAUACAAGACUGAGUACUUGAUGAUAUCAUGAUUCUUUGUAAUAUGUUAUCAAUAUAUUUUUGCUCUGUAUAUAUUCAGUUAUAAAAACAAUACUUUGCUACUUAAAUAUGUAUUUAUAAUGUUCAGCACCUUUUCCUGAAGGAUCUCAAAGCACUUGACAAACAUUAAUUAACUAAGCCGUAUAAUACCCCUGUAAAAUGCUGUAGAGUAUUAUUAUCCCUUUUAAACAUGAGCAAACUGAGCACAGAGCUGCUAAAUGAUUCA